Molecule: long non-coding RNA, 1046 nt
Organism: Mytilus californianus (California mussel)
Lineage: Eukaryota; Metazoa; Mollusca; Bivalvia; Mytilida; Mytilidae
Exons: 3
Source: RefSeq, a predicted model, not a curated record
GAAAGAAAAGUACACAAGAAAAGAAUGAUAGAUACACCUUCAUUAAAAUCAUAAUAAAAUUUAUAAAAUUUAUAACAAACAUAAAAAGUGGUAGUAUCUGCGCGCCAAUUUCAAAUUAAAGGUAAAAGGAUAGCAGGUUAAAAUUUUUCCGUUCAUAAAAUACGAAUUUAUUAAUUAACUAAGGUUCCAACUCCCUCUGGCAAAGAUGACCUUAGAUGAAUUUGUCUAUUCUGUUUCGGUCCUUUCCGAUUGUAUAGCUUCUAAUGUUUCCUUUAAAGUGUUAAGGUUUGUCUAUUCUGUUUCGGUCCUUUCCGACUAUAUAGCUUCUAAGGUUUCCUUUAAAAUGUUAAGGUUUGUCUAUUCUGUGUCGGUCCUUUCCGACUAUAUAGCUUCUAAUGUUUCCUUUAAAGUGUUAAGGUUUGUCUAUUCUGUUUCGGUCCUUUCCGAUUAUAUAGCUUCUAAUGUUUCCUUUAAAGUGUUAAGGUUUGUCUAUUCUGUUUAGGUCCUUUCCGAUUAUAUAGCUUCUAAUGUUUCCUUUAAAAUGUUAAGGUUUGUCUAUUCUGUUUAGGUCCUUUCCGAUUAUAUAGCUUCUAAUGUUGGCUUUAAAAUGUUAAGGUUUGUCUGUUCUGUUUAGGUCCUUUCCGAUUAAAUAGCUUCUAAUGUUGGCUUUAAAAUGUUAAGGUUUGUCUGUUCUGUUUAGGUCCUUUCCGAUUAUAUAGCUUCUAAUGUUGGCUUUAAAAUGUUAAGGUUUGUCUAUUCUGUUUCGGUCCUUUCCGAUUAUAUAGCUUCUAAUGUUGGCUUUAAAGUGUUAAGGUUUGUCUAUUCUGUUUAGGUCCUUUCCGAUUAUAUAGCUUCUAAUGUUGGCUUUAAAAUGUUAAGGUUUUUCUAUUCUGUUUAGGUCCUUUCCGAUUAUAUAGCUUCUAAUGUUGGCUUUAAAGUGUUAAGGUUUGUCUGUUCUGUUUAGGUCCUUUCCGAUUAUAUAGCUUCUAAUGUUGGCUUUAAAGUGUUAAGGUUUGUCAAUUCUGUUAAGGUCCUUUCCGAUUAUA